UAGAUCGUCCUAUUGAUUUAUGUGCAUAUGAGGAGCAGUAGUCAAUGAAUAAUUUUGUGAUGAGAGCAGUACAUUGUAUUACAACAAAUGGACAGAGGAGUUGACUAUUGAUAGUGAUUGAUAAUGGACUGGAGUAACCUAGGGUCCAAUGACUCCAUGCAUGGCAGUCCAUGUGUACAUAAUUAGCUCCUCAGAUGUAAGUGGAAGGGAAGCUAUAUACAUUAUAUGUUUAAAUGAAAUUAACAACAGGAUUAGAUAUGGAGGAGAUCCUAUAGCUACAGUAUAUAUAAAU
Long non-coding RNA from Mytilus californianus (California mussel), 292 nucleotides. RefSeq lists it as uncharacterized. The transcript has 3 exons. The record is from RefSeq and is a predicted model, not a curated record. Lineage: Eukaryota; Metazoa; Mollusca; Bivalvia; Mytilida; Mytilidae.